Molecule: ribosomal RNA, 253 nt
Filed under: uncultured bacterium
Lineage: Bacteria
Description: partial 16S ribosomal RNA
Rfam family: Bacterial small subunit ribosomal RNA
Source: RNAcentral
UACAGAGGGUGCGAGCGUUGUUCGGAAUUAUUGGGCGUAAAGGGCGCGUAGGCGGUGCGGUAAGUCACCUGUGAAAUCUCCUGGCUCAACUGGGAGCUUGCAGGCGAAACUGCCGUGCUGGAGUGUGGGAGAGGUGAGUGGAAUUCCCGGUGUAGCGGUGAAAUGCGUAAAUAUCGGGAGGAACACCUGUGGCGAAAGCGGCUCACUGGACCACAACUGACGCUGAGGCGCGAAAGCGUGGGGAGCAAACAGG